UUGUUGCAGGAUGCAUGUGGCCGAGUUUGGAUGGCCAAUGAAGAGCAAGGGGCAAAGGAAACAAAAAAUGAGUGAGAUGAGCAAGAUGUAGGUGAGAGUGCUGUUAUUGGCCUUAACAAUGGGAGUAUGGCGGUGCUUCAGAAAGAUGCCAAGAACCAGAGCUGUGAAUGCAGAGAAGACCAAGGCCAUUAAAGAAAGUGACAUCCCUAGGGGGUCUUCAUAAGUGAGAAAGAUAAGAGCUUUGUGAAUGCAGUGAUUCUUCCCCAUGUUGGCAUAUUGGUCCUCUGGGCACAGGAUACACAUCUCCACAUCUAAUGGAAUAAUUAAGGGAAAUCUUGGCAUUACAAUGAAUCUUGUGAUGGGUGUCCAUAUGCUGCAUUGGAAUUUUGCUGAUUUCUCCAUGCUGAAUUUGCAUCCUUUGUUUCAUGAUUAGUGAAGUGGAUCUUGCUCAAAGAGGAACCCAGCUGAAAGACAGGCAACAUACUAUAGAGUAUAUGUUCUUGCUUAAGGAUUCCUGCAGAGGUCCAAAGAAGUCAUCAGAUCUCCUGGAACUGAAGGGACACAUAGUUUGGAGACAACUAAGGGAUGCUAAGAACUGC
This is a long non-coding RNA of Rattus norvegicus (Norway rat), 599 nucleotides long. NCBI's taxonomy places the organism in Eukaryota, Metazoa, Chordata, Mammalia, Rodentia, Muridae. The record is from Ensembl.